RNAcentral lists this transfer RNA (72 nucleotides) under Camelus bactrianus (Bactrian camel). It matches the Rfam family "tRNA". Rfam says of the family: Transfer RNA (tRNA) molecules are approximately 80 nucleotides in length. Lineage: Eukaryota; Metazoa; Chordata; Mammalia; Artiodactyla; Camelidae. RNAcentral also lists the same sequence under 1 other name. The record is from Rfam by way of RNAcentral.
GAAGGUGCAGCUCAGGGGUAGAGCGCCUGCUUAGCAUGCGUGGGGUCGUGGGUUCAAUCCCCAGCACCUCCA